RNAcentral lists this ribosomal RNA (349 nucleotides) under uncultured bacterium. RNAcentral describes it as "bacterial SSU rRNA". It matches the Rfam family "Bacterial small subunit ribosomal RNA", at positions 917 to 1271 of the family's 1533-position model. The record is from RNAcentral.
GGGCCCGCACAAGCGGUGGAGCAUGUGGUUUAAUUCGAUGCAACGCGAAGAACCUUACCAGGGCUUGACAUACUACAAAUUCUUUAGAGAUAGAGAAGUGCCUUCGGGAAUGUAGAUACAGGUGGUGCAUGGCUGUCGUCAGCUCGUGUCGUGAGAUGUUGGGUUAAGUCCCGCAAGAGCGCAACCCUUAUUUUUAGUUACUAAUUUCGUUAGGCUUUUCUAGAAAAGACUGCCGGUGACAAACCGGAGGAAGUGAGGAUGCGUCAAGUCAGCAUGCCCCUUAUGUCCUGGCUACACACGUGCUACAAUGGUUAAGACAAAGAGUCGCGAGCUCGCGAGAGUCAGCUAA